AACGCACGAGACCUGCGGACCUGCGGAGGGAUCAUUACAGAGUUACUACUCCAAACCCAUUGUGAACCUUACCUAUGUUCUGUUGCCUCGGCGGCGUGGUCAGCGCCCCUCUGAAAAGAGGACGAUGCCCUCCCGCCGGCAGCACCAAACUCUUUGAAUUUUACAGCGGAUUACAGUUCUGAUUUGAAAACAAAAAACAAGUUAAAACUUUCAACAAUGGAUCUCUAGAUCGGAAGAGCA
Molecule: unclassified non-coding RNA, 240 nt
Filed under: soil metagenome
Description: partial contains 5.8S ribosomal RNA, internal transcribed spacer 2, and large subunit ribosomal RNA
Source: RNAcentral